CGAGAAAGCCCGCAAGGGUGAGUAAAGCGGCGCACGGGUGAGUAACACGUGGGUAAUCUGCCCUAGAGUCCGGAAUAACUCGCCGAAAGGCGUGCUAAUGCCGGAUGAGACCACGGGAGCCUCGGCUCUCGCGGGAAAAGGUGGCCUCUGUAUACAAGCUAUCGCUCUAGGAUGAGCCCGCGGCCCAUCAGCUCGUUGGCGGGGUAAUGGCCCGCCAAGGCUACGACGGGUAGCUGGUCUGAGAGGACGAUCAGCCACACUGGAACUGAGACACGGUCC
Molecule: ribosomal RNA, 279 nt
Filed under: uncultured Anaeromyxobacter sp.
Lineage: Bacteria; Pseudomonadati; Myxococcota; Myxococcia; Myxococcales; Anaeromyxobacteraceae
Description: partial 16S ribosomal RNA
Rfam family: Bacterial small subunit ribosomal RNA
Source: RNAcentral